GCCUUCUGCUCGUCGGCCUCCUCCUUCCUGGAUCUCGGCUGGUCGAUCCUGCCCGUGGGCGCGUGGCUGGACCACCCGACACCUCAACUCCGGUGCCAACGGACCUGCCAUCCUGCUCGCCUGCCCGGGUCUUCCGUGCGCUUCAGUGCAACGCCCUGCAACAGCUCUCCCGUGGUCAGCUGUCCCUCUGCUUAGCGCCGCUCGGACAGGCUCGUCUGUCUCCCUUGCGACCAACGACCUGAACAACAAUAGACUGGCUUUACGGAGAUAAGGCAAAAAUGACACGAGAUAAGAGCUGGAUGGACAGGGAAAGAAAUUCUGGUGAGUGGCAAACUGGCAUGAAGGAUUUCUUGAAUUUUGCCUUCGAUGGUGCUCACCCAGACUCAACAGUCCCAUGCCCAUGUAGGAGAUGUCUCAAUGUUGUUCCAAAAACGAAAAAGGAAGCUCAUACUGACUUGUUGUUCAAUGGGAUGGAUCCAACCUACACUCACUGGAUAUACCAUGGUGAACAAUCCGAUGAGGGAAGCAUGUCUGAAGAUUCUGAUAAUGAAGACGCUUUAGAUGAUGGUGCUGGGGUAUGUGACAUGCUCAAUACUCUCAUAAGGGGCACAAACAUGGAAAGCAAUGCAGACAUUGGUGAAGGUGCGGGAGACAUUUAUGUGGAUGCUUCCAGCGGUGAUGAAAGGAACCAGGAGCCAAAUGCAACAGCCAAGGUCUUCUUCGAACUAUUGAAAGAGGCAAAAAAAGAGUUGUACCCAGGUUGCAAGGAUUUCACGAAGCUAUCUUUCAUUGUGAAGCUUUACCAAA
Non-coding RNA from Triticum urartu, 807 nucleotides. NCBI's taxonomy places the organism in Eukaryota, Viridiplantae, Streptophyta, Magnoliopsida, Poales, Poaceae. The record is from RefSeq and is a predicted model, not a curated record.